Molecule: long non-coding RNA, 1273 nt
Organism: Epinephelus fuscoguttatus (brown-marbled grouper)
Lineage: Eukaryota; Metazoa; Chordata; Actinopteri; Perciformes; Serranidae
Exons: 8
Source: RefSeq, a predicted model, not a curated record
GUUAUGACGUCACACGCGUUGAGCUCUAUUCUGAAACUUGACUCUAGAAGCUUCUACAGUCAGUCUCUGCUCAGUUAACAGUGUGAAGGUUUGUGUAACUUUAGUUUUCCUUAUUUUGUCAUCUUUUGCUAACUAGCUUAUUCCCAAAGAUGCUCCUUCUGCUACCUGUCCUGUGUCUCAUGCUGAACGGAGGAACAGUAACGUCCAGUAACUUGCCGUGGUUAAGAACAACAAGGACAGAUCCUGGGACAGACUCAGAGAUGUAAGUUUCAACAGCAAGAUACAGUACACUCUCAAGUGUGAAGCCCAGGAAAUGUCAGACUCCCAGCUGGUGCUCAUGGGAAAUGUAGGCUGUGCUCUAAAUUCCAAUCCAGCCAUGUGAGUGGAUCUGAUGGCUGCAUCUACUGCACUCUUCAAAGCUUAAGCUGGAGUUCAAGAGCUGUCUGUCUGGGAAGACGAUCUCAAUGAAAUGUGAAGGACUGUGUCCCUGUUUGACUGUUCAGGAUCUCAGCAAACCGCCACACAAGACUGAGGAGAGCGGUGAGAGACUGUCUGUUUAGAAAACACGCUGAGUUUAGCUUUGAGACCGGUGCAGAACUCAUCACCAAAGCACACCUGAAAUCCUCUAACAGGUUUAACUCCACCACUGGACGAUUGCUUUGGCAAAGAAAAAAAUAUGAUUCAGACUCAAAGGAAGAGGUCCACAGUGUUGGACAAAUAUGGCAACAGAACUGAACGGCUCUAAGAAACAAGGCAACCCCAGCUGCAGUAAGACCACAACACUGAAUUGAGAUUAAGUGAAAAAAUGUGGACUUGGAGAAGAAAGUAACAGGUUGUUCAAAGAUGAGCAGCAGGACACAUCAGAGGAUUUUAGCAGCAGGGGUGAUGUCAUUCUCGUUGUUGACCAAUAGAAGGAGGCAAACAAAAUGAGCGAGGCAAACGGACCACCCCAGAGGAGCUACUGAGGACGAUGAAGAUCUGGAGAGGGAGGAUGGAUCUGGAUGUGUCUGGAUGUCGUCGGUGAGGCACCAUAUCCUGUCUGGCUGUUGUCGUACCCUGGUGCCAUGAGGUGCUGCUGCCCGGGGCUGUAAGCUCACACAAAUGUGAACACUCACAAUAAUACACAAAAAGAAUUACAAAUACGGUACUAAAUCAGCACUUUUGCAAAUGUUUACCUAUUUUAAUGUUUCAUUUUCCCCUUGUAAAAAGAAAUCUCUGUCGUUCUUCAUGCAAGCUUUGUGAAUAUGUUUUCCAGGCAACAGCUUUAAAAUUC